This is a long non-coding RNA of Manis pentadactyla (Chinese pangolin), 1281 nucleotides long. RefSeq lists it as uncharacterized. The record is from RefSeq and is a predicted model, not a curated record. NCBI's taxonomy places the organism in Eukaryota, Metazoa, Chordata, Mammalia, Pholidota, Manidae. The transcript is spliced from 2 exons.
CAAGCUGGCAGUUUAUUGUUUGCAGGCUCAAUUUAUACAGAUUGCGAGGAAGGGGUGGGUCAGAAGGUGAUUGGGCUUUAGGUGGCGCCGGCGGGAAGGUGCAGAGGGGUGAUUGAGCCUUGGCUGGCGCCGGUGGGAGCGGAGGACCCGGAAGAGAAGCAGGGAGUUCGCCAUUUUGUGGGUGGGGGCCCUUGGGAGGGAGGUUUUAAGGGUGGGGCUUUCCCCUGGGGCAGAGGGUGUUUUUUUGAUUAACAAAGGACAGAAAAGCGCAUGUUGCUAGGUAGCUUAACCACUAGUUCUAACUUAGGAGUUUACUAAAUGCGUUUCUUGGUAAUAGCGGAAAACUUGUUUCUAACGCGUGGAUGGAUUCAUUGUUGCUGACUUUACAGGAGAGACUUUACUUAAAGGUUGCUGUUGUCUUAAGGCUUUCGUAACCAAGCCUGCCUAAAGGCCCACAGGUUUGCUCCCAACAGCCACACACAUGAUUGAGUCCAAUUUUAGGCCUUAUGCCGCAGCUCGCGUUGAGUCACACCAUCUGCAGGAUGAGUCAACAGUCCUGGCUUUGCACGCAGCCCGACUGGGCUCCUGGUUCUUGGUGAAUACAGCCACGUCUCUCUCGGUGUUUUGCCCUCCCUUAGGACAGUGGUCGCAUCUGCCUCCUAGGGUGGCAGUGAAGGUGGAAGGAAAGGAAGGCAUGAGUCCUGUAGAUUUUGGGGUCUUGGGGGCAGGAUUCACCACACUGCUGGGUCUCGUGGAGCACUGCCUGCCUCUUGUAGGUCAGAGGGCAGUGUGCGUGCCUGCUGCCCUGGGCCGGAGGCCGUGAGCCAGUGCUGGGAGAAGGGCUGGGGCCAGGGAGCCCACAGCUGCUGUGCGCGUGACCAUACUCGGGCAAGAAGCUGCGCCUCUAUUAAUAUCUGGGGCGCAGGGCGGGUUCGGCGGCUCCUAUAAAGCCAGCCCUGCCAGCCCCAAGCGGCUCCUUCAGCCCCUGAGAACUUUAGCCCCCCUGUUGUGAGAGAAAAAGAAAAGUCUGGUUCCCCCUGAGGCCUCUCCUUGGUGUGCAGUUGGGCAUCUUCUGUGUCCUCACAUGGUCGUCCCUCUGUGCAGGCGUCCCUGUGGCCCUCUGCGUGUCCAGAUCUCCUCUUCUGCAGACACCACGUUGGGUCAAGUCGGAUCAGGGCCCACCCUCACAGCCCCAUCUUAAUCACCUCCAAUGUGGUCACAUUCCGAGGUCCUGAGGGUCGGGGCUUCAACAUACGCGUGGGAGGGUGCUGUUCGGCUCAG